GUAGUCGUGGCCGAGCGGUUAAGGCGAUGGACUUGAAAUCCAUCGGGUUCUCCCCGCGCAGAUUCGAACCCUGCAGACUGCG
This is a non-coding RNA of Sinocyclocheilus rhinocerous, 82 nucleotides long. The record is from the annotation of a RefSeq genome assembly. NCBI's taxonomy places the organism in Eukaryota, Metazoa, Chordata, Actinopteri, Cypriniformes, Cyprinidae.